AAGUUUUAUUAAGAGAAUUGUUUUUUAGAUUUAGUUAAGAUUUUUAAAGUUAGUAUUUUUUUUAGAAAAUAAGACUAUUUUACAAUAGAAAAUAGUACCGUAAGGGAAAUUUGAAAAAGUUUUUUUAAUUUGAAAAAGUUUUUUUAUUACCUUUUGUAUAAGGGUUUAGAAAGAAAAUUAAAGUAUUUUUAAUUCUCGAAGUUUAAAGAGCUAUUUUUGAUAUGGGAAAAUAUGUUUUAAAAUAUUUUUAAAAUCAAAAAUAGAAAUGAAAUGUUAUUCGUUUUAAAUGAUAUCUAGUUAUAAUAAAUUAACUAUAUGUUAUGCUAUAUAAUUAAUGAUACUUUAUUUUUUUAUAGUUUUAAUUUAUGGGAUAAGCUAUAGAUUAUAAAACUUUUAUUUAUUAGACUUAUAAAGAAAGGUUUGAAAUUUUCUAUUUUUUGUAAUAAAAAGUUUAGCAGUAUUUGUCGAUCAAAGAUGUAAAUUAUUUAUUUUAAUUAAUUUUAGUUAAAAGAAAUAAUGCUAGGAUUAGUAUAAAAGUUAAGUUUUUAAAAAAAAUGUUUUUUUUAGGAAAAACUAUACAAAUUUUAAGAACUCGGCAAUAGAAUUCCUGACUGUUUAUCAAAAACAUUGUAUUUUGUUAAUAAUAAGAUAUAUUACCUGCUCACUGCUUUAUGUAAAUUGCUGUGGUAUUUUGACUAUACGAAGGUAUUGAAAUAAGGCCUUAAAUAGGUGCUAAGAGAAUGGUGAAACAGGGAUUUUCUUUUUUAAAUUUGUUAAUAGAAGUUAAUUUUUAAGUGAAAAGGCUUAAAUAUUAUUUUGGGACAAGAAGACCCUAUGAAUUUUUAAAAAAAAUUAAGUGCUAUUUUUUUUAAAAAAGUUUAAAUUUUAGUUUUUUUUUUGAUUGGGGUGAUUUUUAAAGAUUAAACAUCUUUAAAAUUAUUAAUAGAUCCAUUAUUUAUGAUUAUUUGAUUAAAAUACUCUAGGGAUAACAGCGUAAUAAUUUUGGAUAGUUCUUAUAGAUAAAAUUGAUUGCGACCUCGAUGUUGGAUUAGGAUUCUUUUAUAGUGAAGAAGCUAUGAAAAAAAGUUUGCUCAACUUUUAAUAUCCUACAUGAUCUGAGUUCAGACCGACGUGAGUCAGGUUGGUUUCUAUCUAGAUAAUCUUAGUUUUUAUUUUAGUACGAAAGGAAUUUUUAAAAAAGUUUAACUUAUAUAUAUAUAUUUACUUUAAAAUUAAUUUUUUUUUAACUAGCUGUUAAAGGCUGUUUUAAUUGUAUCAAAUUUAGAACUUGGAUAACUU
RNAcentral lists this ribosomal RNA (1299 nucleotides) under Proknekalia peringueyi. Its description in RNAcentral is "Argas peringueyi 16S ribosomal RNA". Lineage: Eukaryota; Metazoa; Arthropoda; Arachnida; Ixodida; Argasidae. The record is from RNAcentral.